RNAcentral lists this small nuclear RNA (23 nucleotides) under Arabidopsis thaliana (thale cress). RNAcentral describes it as "snRNA_12852". Lineage: Eukaryota; Viridiplantae; Streptophyta; Magnoliopsida; Brassicales; Brassicaceae. The record is from RNAcentral.
AAGUUUGUGUUUGUAUAAUACUC